AUGAGUUGUUUGCUUCAGAAACACCAUGAUCACGAAGGUGGUUUUCCCAGGACGAGGCUUAUCCAUUGCACUCUGGGUGUGCUGACCCCUGCAAUUUCCCCAAAUGUGGGAAACUCGACUACAUAAUUUUGUGGUAGUGGGGGACUGCGUUCACGCUAUCCCCUG
RNAcentral lists this small nuclear RNA (165 nucleotides) under Echinops telfairi (small Madagascar hedgehog). Its description in RNAcentral is "U1 spliceosomal RNA (ENSETEG00000022720.1)". It matches the Rfam family "U1 spliceosomal RNA". From Rfam's summary of the family: U1 is a small nuclear RNA (snRNA) component of the spliceosome (involved in pre-mRNA splicing). Its 5' end forms complementary base pairs with the 5' splice junction, thus defining the 5' donor site of an intron. There are significant differences in sequence and secondary structure between metazoan and yeast U1 snRNAs, the latter being much longer (568 nucleotides as compared to 164 nucleotides in human). The record is from RNAcentral. Lineage: Eukaryota; Metazoa; Chordata; Mammalia; Afrosoricida; Tenrecidae.